CGUCUCUCUGGACAAUAAAAGUCCGGUCCAGUGGCUCGUCGGCCGGUCGCGGAGCGGAGGUCCGCAGGAUGAACCCCGCGUGCGCCCGCUGCGGGAAGAUCGUCUACCCGACGGAGAAAGUCAGCUGCCUGGACAAGAACUGGCAUAAAGGAUGUUUCCACUGCGAGGUUUGUAAGAUGACCCUCAA
Molecule: non-coding RNA, 187 nt
Organism: Gasterosteus aculeatus aculeatus (three-spined stickleback)
Lineage: Eukaryota; Metazoa; Chordata; Actinopteri; Perciformes; Gasterosteidae
Source: RefSeq, a predicted model, not a curated record